UACAGAGGGGGCAAGCGUUGUUCGGAUUUACUGGGCGUAAAGGGCGCGUAGGCGGUCGUGACAAGUCACUUGUGAAAUCUCCGGGCUUAACUCGGAACGGUCAAGUGAUACUGUCGGACUAGAGUACAGAAGGGGCAACUGGAAUUCUCGGUGUAGCGGUGAAAUGCGUAGAUAUCGAGAGGAACACCUGCGGCGAAGGCGGGUUGCUGGGCUGAUACUGACGCUGAGGCGCGGAAAGCCCAGGGGAGCGAACGGG
Molecule: ribosomal RNA, 256 nt
Filed under: uncultured bacterium
Lineage: Bacteria
Description: partial 16S ribosomal RNA
Rfam family: Bacterial small subunit ribosomal RNA
Source: RNAcentral